RNAcentral lists this ribosomal RNA (1886 nucleotides) under human oral metagenome. Its description in RNAcentral is "bacterial LSU rRNA". It matches the Rfam family "Bacterial large subunit ribosomal RNA", at positions 335 to 1977 of the family's 2925-position model. The record is from RNAcentral.
GAACGAGUUGGAAAGCUCAGCCAGAGACUGUGAUAGCCAGGUAUGCGAAAACGACGCUGACCUUAUUCUGUAUUCUCGAGUAGGUCGGGGCACGAGAAACCCUGAUUGAAUCCGGCUGGACCACCAGCCAAGGCUAAAUAUAGUAUAUGAUCGAUAGUGAACUAGUACGGUGACGGAAAGGUGAAAAGAACCCCGGGAGGGGAGUGAAAUAGAACCUGAAAUUUUGUGCCUACAAGGAGUCGGAGCCCAGCACCUUUGAAAUCGAGUGGUACAAUGUAGGCGGAUGUUCUACGUGUACGUUUUGCAAAGUGAUCGGGAAUCAGAUCAAAUUUACUUCGGUCAGACCAGUGACCUAAGACGACGUCUCUCGGAGCAUAAUUCCGGUAAGGAUACUUAUACCAAGAUAUAUGCGCCAUGGAAGGUUGUCUAUUAUGAAGCCUAUUCAUCACGUAAGCUGGCAUUAGCCCGUGAGAGACAGUUGAAAGCUUAUGGACAAGCCAGGACUGCCCUGAAGAAGAGACUAAAUUUGAUCUGAUACUCGAUUUCAAAGGUGCUGGGUGACGGCGUGCUUUUUGUAGAACGAUCCAGCGAGUUAAUUUUUACGGCGAGGUUAAGUCAGAUGAUGAAGCCAUAGUGAAAGCGAGCAUUAACAGUGCGAUUUAGUCGUAAGGAUUAGACCCGAAACCAGGUGACCUAACCAUGAGCAGGUUGAAGCAACCUUAAUCGGUUGUGGAGGACCGAACCAGUGUAUGUUACAAAAUGCUUGGAUGACUUGUGGUUAGCGGUGAAAUGCCAAUCGAACUUGGAGAUAGCUGGUUCUCCGCGAAAUAGUUAUAGGACUAGCGUCGUGUGAUAGCUUACGGGGGUAGAGCUCUGUCAAGAGAUAGGGGGAGCAAUCCUACCUACUCUUAAUAAACUACGAAUACCGUAUGUCUGUAUCACGGCAGUUAGAACGUCGGUGCUAAGAUCGGCGCUCAAAAGGGAAACAGCCCAGACCAUCAUCUAAGGUCCCCAAAUUUACGCUAAGUGGGAAACAAGGUGGAAUUUCUUAAACAGCUAGGAUGUUGGCUUAGAAGCAGCCAUUCAUUUAAAGAGUGCGUAACAGCUCACUAGUCAAGAGAUUCUGCGUGGAAGAUAUAACGGGGCUAAGCGUAAUACCGAAGAUAUGGAUUGCAAUUUAUUGCAGUGGUAGCGGAGCGUUCCUAUCAGCAGUGAAGCCAGACUGUUAAGUACUGGUGGAGCGUUAGGAAGUGAGAAUGCUGGAACGAGUAACCAUAAGACAGGUGAGAAUCCUGUCGGCCGAAAGAGCGAGGUUUCCUGGGCUAUGGUAAUCAUCCCAGGGUUAGUCGGGCCUAAGCCGAGGCGUUUAGCGUAGGCGAUGGACAUCAGGUUAAUAUUCCUGAACUAGUCAAACUUUGUAUGCAGUUAGCGAUGAGAUAGGUGGAGCGGAUUCAUGGUUUAUCCGUUCAAGUGAUAGAGGAAUCUUGAUCGAGUAAAAGUGAACCUACGGGUUUACGAUUCCGCUGAAGGCAUUGACCAGAAAAGCUGGCAUACGCAUGGGUUUGGCUACCCGUACCGCAAACCGACACAGGUGCUCGAGUCGAGGAGACUAAGGCUUACGAGAGAAUGAUUGCUAAGGAACUCGGCAAUACAGCGACCGUAACUUCGGAAUAAGGUCUGCCUACAUUUGUAGGCCGCAGCUAAAGAGCCCACGGAACUGUUUACCAAAAACUCAGGUCUCUGCUAACACGAAAGUGGAUGUAUAGGGGCUGAAACCUGCCCGGUGCCGGAAGGUUAAGGGGAUUGCUUCACGGUGAGAACUGAAGCCCCGGUGAACGGCGGCGGUAACUAUAACCGUCCUAAGGUAGCGAAAUUCCUUGUCAGGU